GACGAACGCUGGCGGCGUGCUUAACACAUGCCAGUCGAACGGAAAGACCCUGCUUUUGUGGGGUGCUCGAGUGGCGAACGGGUGAGUAACACGUGAGUAAAAUGCCCUUGACUUUGGGAUAACUUCAGGAAACUGGGGCUAAUACAGGAUAGGAGAUCCUGCUGCAUGGUGGGGGUUGGUAAGAUUCGGCGGUUGGGGAUGGACUGGCGGCUUAUCAGCUUGUUGGGCGGGUAGUGGCUUACCAAGCGUUUGAAGGGUAGCCGGCCUGGGAGGUUGGCCGGCGUCAAGGGGACUGCGGUACGGACCAGACGCGUACGUUCGGCAACAGUCGGGAAUAUUGCGCAGUGGGCGGAAGUCUGAGGCAGCAGUGCCGCGUGCGUGAUGACCUGUUACGAGGUGUGAACAGCUUUCGAAGGAGACGUAGAGGUAUUGACGGUAAUUAGUAAAGAAGCAACGGCUAACUACGUG
This 468-nucleotide ribosomal RNA is filed under the name uncultured bacterium. RNAcentral describes it as "partial 16S ribosomal RNA". It matches the Rfam family "Bacterial small subunit ribosomal RNA", at positions 28 to 507 of the family's 1533-position model. The record is from RNAcentral.